UCCAAAUAAAACGGUUCUUAAAUAAUUAUCAAACAAGCGAACAACUGUCCCUGGCGCAACUGGUAAAGAACUUAUUGAUUGAUAUCUGAGGUCCCACCACCCCUCCCUCCAAAAGUGUGGGCUUCUAUAGAAAACGGUUCUUAAAUAAUAACUAAACGACUGAUCCUUCUUAGCGCAAGUGAUAAAAAGCUUAGUGAUUGAUAUCUGAACUCCUAAGUUUGAAUUAUAAUUAAUUCAUAUUUUUAACUAAAUUUAUUUCUAAAAUAAAUAAAUAGAACGAUAGCAUGAUAUCUUUUUCUCAAAAAAAAUAUAAUUUACCAAACGCUGACUCUACAAUUAAAAAAAUAUAUAAUUUUAACAGCUGACCUUUCGAUAGUUUUAGAUCUUAUUUAUAUGUAUAAAUAGAUAUUUUUUUAAAAUUUAUUUAAAAGAUUUAUACAUUUUGACCAUGAGAAGUGUAAUCAAAUUUUAGAAUGAAAUAUUAUAUUUGGCAUCAAAUUAUUUGUUCUGAAUAAAAUAAAUUAUCUCAUAAAAACAUGCUAUUCUACCAAAUAAUGAAUAACACACCUUUCAAAAAUAAAAAAAUCAAACUUUCUAUUUGGAAUCAUAUUAAAAA
This 616-nucleotide long non-coding RNA is filed under the name Ananas comosus (pineapple). Its description in RNAcentral is "long non-coding RNA (ACOM_LNC024819)". The record is from RNAcentral. Lineage: Eukaryota; Viridiplantae; Streptophyta; Magnoliopsida; Poales; Bromeliaceae.